GAGCGGUAGAGAGAAGCUUGCUUCUCUUGAGAGCGGCGGACGGGUGAGUAAUGCCUAGGAAUCUGCCUGGUAGUGGGGGAUAACGUUCGGAAACGGACGCUAAUACCGCAUACGUCCUACGGGAGAAAGCAGGGGACCUUCGGGCCUUGCGCUAUCAGAUGAGCCUAGGUCGGAUUAGCUAGUUGGUGAGGUAAUGGCUCACCAAGGCGACGAUCCGUAACUGGUCUGAGAGGAUGAUCAGUCACACUGGAACUGAGACACGGUCCAGACUCCUACGGGAGGCAGCAGUGGGGAAUAUUGGACAAUGGGCGAAAGCCUGAUCCAGCCAUGCCGCGUGUGUGAAGAAGGUCUUCGGAUUGUAAAGCACUUUAAGUUGGGAGGAAGGGCAUUAACCUAAUACGUUGGUGUCUUGACGUUAC
RNAcentral lists this ribosomal RNA (419 nucleotides) under uncultured bacterium. Its description in RNAcentral is "bacterial SSU rRNA". It matches the Rfam family "Bacterial small subunit ribosomal RNA", at positions 64 to 478 of the family's 1533-position model. The record is from RNAcentral.